CCUACGGGUGGCAGCAGUGGGGAAUAUUGCACAAUGGGGGAAACCCUGAUGCAGCGACGCCGCGUGAGUGAAGAAGUACUUCGUUUUGUAAAGCUCUAUCAGCAGGGAAGAAAAUGCCGGUUCCUGAGUAAGAAGCCCCGGAUAACUACGUGACAGCAGCCGCGGUAAGACGUCGGGGGCAAGCGUUCUCCGGAUUUACUGGGUGUAAAGGGAGCGUAGACGGCAGUGCAAGUCUGGAGUGAAAGGCGGGGGCUCAACCCGCGGACUGCUCUGGAAACUGUACGGCUGGAGUGCCGGAGAGGUAAGUGGAAUUCCUGGUGUAGCGGUGAAAUGCGUAGAUAUUAGGAGGAACACCAGUGGCGAAGGCGACUUACUGGACCGUAACUGACGUUGAGGCGCGAAAGCGUGGGGAGCAAACAGGAUUAGAUACCCUUGUAGUC
RNAcentral lists this ribosomal RNA (440 nucleotides) under uncultured bacterium. RNAcentral's name for it is "partial 16S ribosomal RNA". It matches the Rfam family "Bacterial small subunit ribosomal RNA", at positions 338 to 795 of the family's 1533-position model. The record is from RNAcentral.